This 253-nucleotide ribosomal RNA is filed under the name uncultured bacterium. RNAcentral describes it as "partial 16S ribosomal RNA". It matches the Rfam family "Bacterial small subunit ribosomal RNA", at positions 524 to 776 of the family's 1533-position model. The record is from RNAcentral.
UACGGGGGGGGCAAGCGUUGUUCGGAAUUACUGGGCGUAAAGAGCGCGCAGGCGGCUGGUCAAGUCCGAUGUGAAAGCUCCCGGCUUAACUGGGAAAUUGCAUCGGAAACUGAUCGGCUGGAAGGUGGGAGAGGGUAGCGGAAUUCCCGGUGUAGUGGUGAAAUGCGUAGAUAUCGGGAGGAACACCAGUGGCGAAAGCGGCUACCUGGCCCAUUCUUGACGCUGAGGCGCGAAAGCUAGGGGAGCAAACGGG